RNAcentral lists this ribosomal RNA (468 nucleotides) under uncultured bacterium. RNAcentral's name for it is "partial 16S ribosomal RNA". It matches the Rfam family "Bacterial small subunit ribosomal RNA", at positions 28 to 507 of the family's 1533-position model. The record is from RNAcentral.
GACGAACGCUGGCGGCGUGCUUAACACAUGCAAGUCGAACGGAAGGGCCCUGCUUUUGUGGGGUGCUCGAGUGGCGAACGGGUGAGUAACACGUGAGUAACCUGCCCUUGACUUUGGGAUAACUUCAGGAAACUGGGGCUAAUACCGGAUAGGAGCUCCUGCUGCAUGGUGGGGGUUGGAAAGUUUCGGCGGUUGGGGAUGGACUCGCGGCUUAUCAGCUAGUUGGUGGGGUAGUGGCUUACCAAGGCUUUGACGGGUAGCCGGCCUGAGAGGGUGACCGGCCACAUUGGGACUGAGAUACGGCCCAGACUCCUACGGGAGGCAGCAGUGGGGAAUAUUGCACAAUGGGCGGAAGCCUGAUGCAGCAACGCCGCGUGCGGGAUGACGGCCUUCGGGUUGUAAACCGCUUUCGCCUGUGACGAAGCGUGAGUGACGGUAAUGGGUAAAGAAGCACCGGCUAACUACGUG